UACGUAGGUGGCAAGCGUUGUCCGGAUUUACUGGGCGUAAAGAGCGCGCAGGCGGUCGUUCAAGUCGCGUGUGAAAGCCCCCGGCUCAACUGGGGAGGGUCACGCGAUACUGAUCGACUCGAAGGCAGGAGAGGGUAGUGGAAUUCCCGGUGUAGUGGUGAAAUGCGUAGAUAUCGGGAGGACCACCAGUGGCGAAGGCGACUACCUGGCCUGUUCUUGACGCUGAGGCGCGAAAGCUAGGGGAGCAAACGGG
RNAcentral lists this ribosomal RNA (253 nucleotides) under uncultured bacterium. RNAcentral describes it as "partial 16S ribosomal RNA". It matches the Rfam family "Bacterial small subunit ribosomal RNA", at positions 524 to 776 of the family's 1533-position model. The record is from RNAcentral.